This 634-nucleotide ribosomal RNA is filed under the name Prochlorococcus sp. AG-670-L16. RNAcentral describes it as "bacterial SSU rRNA". It matches the Rfam family "Bacterial small subunit ribosomal RNA", at positions 886 to 1520 of the family's 1533-position model. Lineage: Bacteria; Bacillati; Cyanobacteriota; Cyanophyceae; Synechococcales; Prochlorococcaceae. The record is from RNAcentral.
ACGCAAGUGUGAAACUCAAAGGAAUUGACGGGGGCCCGCACAAGCGGUGGAGUAUGUGGUUUAAUUCGAUGCAACGCGAAGAACCUUACCAGGGUUUGACAUCCUGAGAACCUCUUAGAAAUUUGAGGGUGCCUUCGGGAAUUCAGUGACAGGUGGUGCAUGGCUGUCGUCAGCUCGUGUCGUGAGAUGUUGGGUUAAGUCCCGCAACGAGCGCAACCCACGUUUUUAGUUGCCAGCAUUUAGUUGGGCACUCUAGAAAGACCGCCGGUGAUAAACCGGAGGAAGGUGUGGAUGACGUCAAGUCAUCAUGCCCCUUACACCCUGGGCUACACACGUACUACAAUGCUACGGACAAAGGGCAGCAAACUCGCGAGAGCUAGCAAAUCCCAUAAACCGUGGCUCAGUUCAGAUCGUAGGCUGCAACUCGCCUACGUGAAGUAGGAAUCGCUAGUAAUCGCAGGUCAGCAUACUGCGGUGAAUACGUUCCCGGGCCUUGUACACACCGCCCGUCACACCAUGGAAGUUGGCCAUGCCCGAAGUCGUUACUCCAACCCUUGUGGAGGAGGACGCCGAAGGUGGGGCUAAUGACUGGGGUGAAGUCGUAACAAGGUAGCCGUACCGGAAGGUGCGGCUG